UUCCCAAACCGGUAACAAGGAAGCAGCUUGCUGCUUCGCUGACGAGUGGCGGACGGGUGAGUAAUGUCUGGGAAACUGCCUGAUGGAGGGGGAUAACUACUGGAAACGGUGGCUAAUACCGCAUAACGUCGCAAGACCAAAGAGGGGGACCUUCGGGCCUCUUGCCAUCAGAUGUGCCCAGAUGGGAUUAGCUUGUUGGUGAGGUAACGGCUCACCAAGGCGACGAUCCCUAGCUGGUCUGAGAGGAUGACCAGCCACACUGGAACUGAGACACGGUCCAGACUCCUACGGGAGGCAGCAGUGGGGAAUAUUGCACAAUGGGCGCAAGCCUGAUGCAGCCAUGCCGCGUGUAUGAAGAAGGCCUUCGGGUUGUAAAGUACUUUCAGCGGGGAGGAAGGUGUUGUGGUUAAUAACCGCAGCAAUUGACGUUACCCGCAGAAGAAGCACCGGCUAACUCCGUGCCAGCAGCCGCGGUAAUACGGAGGGUGCAAGCGUUAAUCGGAAUUACUGGGCGUAAAGCGCACGCAGGCGGUCUGUCAAGUCGGAUGUGAAAUCCCCGGGCUCACCUGGGAACUGCAUUCGAAACUGGCAGGCUUGAGUCUUGUAGAGGGGGGUAAAUUCCAGGUGUAGCGGUGAAAUGCGUAGAGAUCUGGAGGAAUACCGGUGGCGAAGGGCCCCCUGGACAAGACUGACGCUCAGGUGCGAAAGCGUGUGA
RNAcentral lists this ribosomal RNA (715 nucleotides) under Salmonella enterica subsp. enterica serovar Kentucky. Its description in RNAcentral is "bacterial SSU rRNA". It matches the Rfam family "Bacterial small subunit ribosomal RNA", at positions 59 to 766 of the family's 1533-position model. The record is from RNAcentral. Lineage: Bacteria; Pseudomonadati; Pseudomonadota; Gammaproteobacteria; Enterobacterales; Enterobacteriaceae.